UACGAAGGGGGCAAGCGUUGUUCGGAAUUACUGGGCGUAAAGGGCGCGUAGGCGGCUUAUCAAGUCAGGCGUGAAAUUCCCGGGCUCAACCUGGGGGCUGCGCUUGAUACUGAUUGGCUUGAAUGCGGGAGAGGAUAGUGGAAUUCCCAGUGUAGAGGUGAAAUUCGUAGAUAUUGGAAAGAACACCGGUGGCGAAGGCGGCUAUCUGGCCCGUAAUUGACGCUGAGGCGCGAAAGCGUGGGGAGCAAACAGG
This 253-nucleotide ribosomal RNA is filed under the name uncultured bacterium. RNAcentral's name for it is "partial 16S ribosomal RNA". It matches the Rfam family "Bacterial small subunit ribosomal RNA", at positions 524 to 776 of the family's 1533-position model. The record is from RNAcentral.